ACAAUGACCCAAGCUCCUGUUUGUUGAUUGUGAUGAAAUGCAUGCUGAGGCACAUGCCUUGGGAGCUAAGUGGCAGCUAUACUUCACUACUAUGGCAGUAAAGAUGACUAUAAAGACUGGCGGGGGAUGGAUCCUUUCAAAUGUACCUGAGCUGGGAUGCCCAGCUUGUGGAACGCACAGCAGGAGGUGAGCAGUGGCCAAAGGAACAUCUGAAGGAACACCUGAUGAGGCUGCACCCUUGGCGGAAAGAACACCUGACAUGGCUGAAAGCUUGGUGGAAAAACCACCUGAUGAGGCUGCACCCUUGGUGGAGGGAACAGCUGACAAAAUUCAAUGUUUGGGGAAAGCAACAUCUGGAAAGUUUGAACAGUCAGCAGAAGAAACACCUAAGAAAAUUAUGAGGACUGCAAAAGAAACAUCUAAGAAAUUUGCAUGGCCAGCAAAAGAAAGACCUAGGAAGAUCACAUGGGAGGAAAAAUAAACAUCUGUAAAGACUGAAUGCGUGGCAGGAGUAAUACCUAAUAAAACUGAAGUUUUGGAAAAAGGAACAUCUAAGAUGCUCACGUGUCCUACAAAAGAAACAUCUACAAAAGCAAGUACAAAUGUGGAUGUGAGUUCUGUAGAGUCUAUAUUCAGAGUCUCACCCUGUCACCCAGGCUGGAAUGCAAUGGCACGAUCUCGGCUCACUGCAACCUCCACCUCCCAGGUUCAAGCGAUUCUCCUGCCUCAGCCUCCCGAGUAUCUGGGAGUACAGGCAUGCGCCUCCACGCCCAGCUAAUUUUUGUAUUUUUAGUAGAGACGGAGUUUCACCAUGUUGCCCAGGCUGGGCUCAAACUCCUGACCUCAUGAUCCACCCGCCUCGGCCUCCUAAAAUGCUGGGACUACAGGCGUAAGCCACUGCACCUGGCCCGAUUUCACUUUCAAAAAUUCAACAGUCUGCAUAGGUUACUUAAUUCUACCCAUUUAGCCUAUCUUAUAAAUAUUUAUCUUAUCACUAUGUAAUUUUCCUCAUGUAGGUCAUCUACUCAUACUCCAAAUGUAUUUAUCCAGAUCUUUCUUCCAAGCCCCUUGGGUGCCCCAAAUCUUAUAGGUCUCAAACUGAAAGCAUCAUUUUUAUUCUGUUCCUGUUUUCUGACUCUUCGUAAUCUACUCUGUCAUCUGGUUUCCCCAUCCUAGGAAAUAACACCUAGGAAGUAGCGGUGAAACACUCAAGCACUUAAACCUGCACUUCAACCCUCCCCCACAUCCUAAACUUCAACCCUUUUCCAUGUCACCCAUCCAGUCACACACCUAAUUUUGUAUUUUCUACCUUCUUAUAAUUUUCCAUAUCUUAUUACCAUAAUUAACUCUCUACCUAUAAUUUUGAAGUACUCCUUUCUAGUUUUGCCCCAUCUCCCCAUGUUCAUCUAUCUUUACAUCGCUGGAAGGGUCACCUUUCUAAAAUGUAUUUGUAAUGAUGUAACUCAUCUGCAUAUUGAGUGAAUACCCAUUACACGAAGGGGUAAGUUCACAUUCUAGCGUGACACAUAUCUUAUAUGGUUUGGCCCCAUUUUAUCUCUUCAUCUCUUUCCUCUGUGUUCCAGUUUUACGACAUCACCUUGGCACCCCUCAAUUGCCAUGUUGUUUCAUGCCUUAUUAUUUUACACAUGCUAUUGCACCUAGAGUCUUUGUAUCCUGACUCUGCACUUUGUCUGUCCUUCCCAAUAUGGCCCCAUUAUGGCAGCAUUUUCUAUGCUUUUCAGAUAAAACUGAUUGUUCUCUCCUUUGUGCCCUUAUGUAUUAUAUUGACUUAAAUUGUAGAACUGGUGAAUUAUACUUUUCUGUUCUUAUUUGUUUUCACGUCUCUAACAUUUCUUGAAUAUAGGCCAGAAUCUAUCUUCUGUGUAUAUUUCCUGCUUCUCCCAGGAUAGUGCCUGUGAUUCGAUAGAUACAAUGUAUGGGUUUUUUUGUUUGUGUUUUGUUUUGUCUUACUGACAAAUUGAGUGAAUGAGUGAAUAAAUAAAGUUUUUUCUGAAGUUGUUUUUUGGUGCUUUUUGGUUUUUGUUUGUAAUAGAAGGAAGCAACAAAGACAGCAACUGAACAACAAGAAAAUGAUAUUGGAAUUAUUGAAUGAGCGCCAUAAGAUCUAACAAAUAAGAUGCCCACAUCAGAGUCAGGACAAAAAGAAGAUACGAAAUCACCUUCAGUUUCUGAGGUAUCAGAUAAUAAUGAUGUAUUCCAAGGUCACAGCUAUGGAUGUGGAAGAGAUAGGAAAGGCCUCACCACUUAAGAUAGAAGCAGCAGCUGCAUAGUGGUAACAGCAAUGAGUGGAUGUCAAAAGACAGAUUCAACUAGCCUAUCAAUAUUCUUGGGUGCAGUUCCUUCUCAUGAAAGAGCAAGGGAACUUAAAAAAUAUCACUGUGAACAACUUACAGCAAAAAUAAAACAAAUGAAAAAUAAGUUUUGGGUACUACAAAAGGAACUAUCAGAAGCAAAAAUAAAAUUGCAGUAAGUGAAUCAAAAGGUUAAAUGGGAACAAGAGCUCUGCAGUGUGAGCUUGGAAUGAAGUUGAUAAUAGUGAGACCUUGUUGGUACAAGACUAUGUAACACAACCUGCACUUCUCAACAAAAAAUUGCUUUUCUGACUUCUGCACUCAGUAGGUAUCUUUGGAAAAUAAUCUCCUAUUGGUACUGAGGCACCCUGGCUAAGUUUUGUAAUUCUUGUUGACAUUUGUUCGUGGUGCCAGAAAAGUAUUAUUAAGUAUUAUUAACUAUUCUAAAGAUAGUUACUUUUCUUUAAGACAGAGUCUCGCUCUGUCACCCAGGCUGGAGUGCAGUGGCAUAAUCUCGGCUCACUGCAAGCUCCACCUCCCGGGUUCAUGCCAUUCUCCUGUCUCAGCCUCCCGAGUAGCUGGAACUACAGGUACCCACCACCAAGCCCAGCUAAUUUUUUUGUAUUUUUAGUAGAGACAGGGUUUCACCAUGUUAGCCAGGAUGGUCUCAAUCUCCUAACCUUGUGAUCCACCCACCUCGGCCUUCCAAAGUCCUGGGAUUACAGGCGUGAGCCACUGCGCCUGGCCAAGAUAGUUACUUUCUUAGUGACACAAGUCACUAUGUCACAAAGUUGAUCCUUGAAUAAGGGUUUUCACUGUAGGAGCCCACUAACAGACAGAUUUUUCUUUUCCUUUGGCACUGCAAGAUAGCAAGACAAAUCUCUCCUCUGCCUCCUCAUCAGACUACUCAAUGUGAAGGCAAUAAGAAUGAAAACCUUUAUGUAUAAUAAUUCACUUCCACUUAAUAAAUAGUGAAUAUAUUUUUUCCUCCUUGUAACAGUU
RNAcentral lists this long non-coding RNA (3314 nucleotides) under Homo sapiens (human). Its description in RNAcentral is "HSALNT0357677". Lineage: Eukaryota; Metazoa; Chordata; Mammalia; Primates; Hominidae. The record is from RNAcentral.